This 414-nucleotide long non-coding RNA is filed under the name Pongo abelii (Sumatran orangutan). RNAcentral's name for it is "lincRNA". The record is from RNAcentral. Lineage: Eukaryota; Metazoa; Chordata; Mammalia; Primates; Hominidae.
CCUGACUCUUCCAUCUCCAUCCUUCAUGCUUAAAGGAUCCUGGUGAUUACAUUGGACCCUCCCAUACAAUCUAGGAUACAUUUUUAACCUUAAGGUCUUCGAGGGAUCACCACACUGUCUUCCACAAUGGUUGAACUAAUUUACACCCCCACCAAUAACGCUACCAUUGAAUUUAAUUCUGAUGCUGUCUUCAACAUGGAAGUUGCAUAAGAAAAUUUGAAGCCAUUGUGUAUUUCAGCUAGGCUUCUUAGGAAAUAGAGGUCAGCCUAGUGCAGUGAAGUCUGAUUGGAGGUGGACAAUGAGGAUCCUGCCAAGGUGCUGUCCUUAGCUUCUGUUCAGCCUAAUGUAAGUUCAUACCUUUUGAUUACAGUCAUUUCAAUGACUUUUUUUGCCCAUAAAAUUAUGACCACAUAA